Molecule: ribosomal RNA, 425 nt
Filed under: uncultured bacterium
Lineage: Bacteria
Description: bacterial SSU rRNA
Rfam family: Bacterial small subunit ribosomal RNA
Source: RNAcentral
AGGGAAUCUUCCGCAAUGGACGAAAGUCUGACGGAGCAACGCCGCGUGAGUGAAGAAGGUCUUCGGAUCGUAAAACUCUGUUGUUAGGGAAGAACAAGUAUCGUUCGAAUAGGGCGGUACCUUGACGGUACCUAACCAGAAAGCCACGGCUAACUACGUGCCAGCAGCCGCGGUAAUACGUAGGUGGCAAGCGUUGUCCGGAAUUAUUGGGCGUAAAGCGCGCGCAGGCGGUCUUUAAGUCUGAUGUGAAAGCCCACGGCUCAACCGUGGAGGGUCAUUGGAAACUGGGGAACUUGAGUGCAGAAGAGGAGAGUGGAAUUCCACGUGUAGCGGUGAAAUGCGUAGAGAUGUGGAGGAACACCAGUGGCGAAGGCGACUCUCUGGUCUGUAACUGACGCUGAGGCGCGAAAGCGUGGGGAGCGAAC